AUACGGAAGGUCCGAGCGUUAUCCGGAUUUAUUGGGUUUAAAGGGUGCGCAGGCGGGAGAUUUAGUCGGCGGUGAAAUUUUUCAGCUCAACUGGAAAAGUGGCUUCGAAACUGGUUUUCUUGGGUGUAGAUGAAGUAAGUGGAAUUUUUGGGGUAGCGGUGAAAUGCGUAGAUAUCACGAGGAACUCCGAUUGCGCAGGCAGCUUACUAAACUACUACUGACGCUCAGGCACGAAGGCGUGGGGAUCAAACAGGAUUAGAUACCCUGGUAGUCCACGCAGUAAACGAUGAUUACUAGCUGUUUGCGAUACAAUGUAAGCGGCUGAGCGAAAGCGUUAAGUAAUCCACCUGGGGAGUACGUUCGCAAGAAUGAAACUCAAAUGAAUUGACGGGG
RNAcentral lists this ribosomal RNA (393 nucleotides) under uncultured bacterium. RNAcentral describes it as "partial 16S ribosomal RNA". It matches the Rfam family "Bacterial small subunit ribosomal RNA", at positions 523 to 918 of the family's 1533-position model. The record is from RNAcentral.